UCAUGAUGAACGGUGAGGACUGAGCAGCAGACGACGCUCAUGAUCCAGUGGCUGCCAAGUGAGUGUCAUCUUCAGGUCCUUCCAGGGGUCAGGAUAACACAAGAUUAUACCUCUUUAUCCAGGGCUUAUGCAUUACAUGUUACCUAGCUGAGCCUCAGAUUUGAGAGAAUUAGCCCUUGGACCACUUCACAAUUUACCGACAGUUCAAACGCUGGGUUGCCAUGGCAGACCACACAGAAGAUAAUGAUCCUUUUGAAGAGGAUAUUGUUUUUGAUGAGACUGGCUUACUGGGUGGGAAAAUGCCACGCUCUCGUCAGCAAUCCACUGUGGGAUUCUUGCCAACAUUUAUGCUCUUUAUAAGGACUGUGUUUCUCUGCACAGCCUUCGUUGGAUUGGGGCUGUGUAUGUCUGUGAGUGGGGAACCCUUGAUAAAAAUGGAGUUGGUUGUUGGGACGUCAGUAGACACAGCCUUCCACACCUUCACUGCCCGCUCCUUUGGGAUGCUGCUUGGAGGAAUCUUAGGUUCACUGUUAUUUGAGGUGUACAACCGUCAGUUCCUGAUAUUUGUGAGUCUUAUAUGGGUGGCUGUGUCAGUGACAGUAUUACCCUUCACUGUCCCAACUGCCCUCUGGUGGACAUUCACCACAACUGCCUCUUUGGGCAUGGGUCUUGGAUUCCUCUUUACAGGUGGGAAUGUCCUAUGUCUGGACCUGUGGGGGCGACAGGGCGGAGCUUCUCUUCAGGCACUGCAUUUCAGUUUUGCUGUUGGAGCUUUUAUAGUUCCUCUUGUCAUCCAGCCAUUUUUUGCAAGCCUGCACACCAGACUCCACAGUAAUCUCUCUGAUGGACAGGAUCUGGCCUCUACAGAUAAAGAGGUGACAGCUGAUGUAAGUGAAGGCCAAUGGAGAAGUGACAGAACCUUGAGCAAGAUUUAACAAGCAGCAUGUUACUUCAACCUCAUCAGGUGACAGCUGAUGUACUUGAAGGCCAAUGGAGAAGUGACAGAACCUUGAGCAAGAUUUAACAAGCUGCACUUUACUUCAGCCUCAUCAGUGACAGAUGUACUUGAAGGCCAGCCUAGAGGAAGUGACAGAACCAACCUUGAGCAAGAUGUAACGCAUGUUAAUUCAGCCUCUCCAGUGGUUGGUGUACAAGAAAUGAAACCAAGACGGCCAUAUGACCACAGGGUGUUCCCACAACUGUACUGUCUUCCAGCCCACACCUUCAAGAGUACCACCUUAAGCAUGAACUUUUUUCUACAAUUGAGAAAAUUUUUAAAGUACAGUAAAGUAAUAUAUUUAAGAAUGUAUAAGUAAGCCUCGAGUCAAGCCACAUAGAUUAAGAAAAAGUUGAAUAUAUUAUGUAAUGGUUGGCACUUGUAUUGAGAUUAGGAUGAGUUGGCUCUCAUUAUACAAUAUCUAUACAUAAUCAAAUAAACACUGAAUAAAUU
This 1450-nucleotide unclassified non-coding RNA is filed under the name Homarus americanus (American lobster). Its description in RNAcentral is "sodium-dependent glucose transporter 1-like, transcript variant X3". The record is from RNAcentral. Lineage: Eukaryota; Metazoa; Arthropoda; Malacostraca; Decapoda; Nephropidae.